Small nucleolar RNA from Grammomys surdaster, 130 nucleotides. RefSeq annotates it as small nucleolar RNA SNORA70. The transcript has a single exon. Lineage: Eukaryota; Metazoa; Chordata; Mammalia; Rodentia; Muridae. The record is from RefSeq and is a predicted model, not a curated record.
ACGUGGUCAUUUAAAACGCACAUACACUUUCCCCGAGGGGCCUGGUGUACAAUGCUUGCAAACAAGCCUUUUUGCAGUGUAUGCAGCUUGUUGCCUGUAUGGGUUGUCCUAAGAGACCUUGGAGACAAUU